AUUGAACGCUGGCGGCAGGCUUAACACAUGCAAGUCGAGCGGAGAUGAGGUGCUUGCACCUUAUCUUAGCGGCGGACGGGUGAGUAAUGCUUAGGAAUCUGCCUAUUAGUGGGGGACAACAUUCCGAAAGGAAUGCUAAUACCGCAUACGUCCUACGGGAGAAAGCAGGGGAUCUUCGGACCUUGCGCUAAUAGAUGAGCCUAAGUCGGAUUAGCUAGUUGGUGGGGUAAAGGCCUACCAAGGCGACGAUCUGUAGCGGGUCUGAGAGGAUGAUCCGCCACCCUGGGACUGAGACACGGCCCAGACUCCUACGGGAGGGAGCAGUGGGGAAUAUUGGACAAUGGGGGAAACCCUGAUCCAGCCAUGCCGCGUGUGUGAAGAAGGCCUUAUGGUUGUAAAGCACUUUAAGCGAGGAGGAGGCUACUGAGACUAAUGCUCUUGGAUAGUGGACGUUACUCGCAGAAUAAGCACCGGCUAACUCUGUGCCAGCAGCCGCCGUAA
This 501-nucleotide ribosomal RNA is filed under the name uncultured bacterium. Its description in RNAcentral is "partial 16S ribosomal RNA". It matches the Rfam family "Bacterial small subunit ribosomal RNA", at positions 30 to 523 of the family's 1533-position model. The record is from RNAcentral.